CCUAGUUUUCAUCCCCAAGGGCAGGUUACUGUGGUCAGAGGUACUUUAAGAACUAGCCUGUGUAUUAUCUCGAUCUGUUACUCCUGCUCUUUUACCUUACUUUUGCAAAAAAUCUUCUUAAACUGAGAAGGAGCACAAUGGAAAAGGACGCUGAAAAAUCAUAGGUUUUGUGUUAUGGAAAGAUCCCUGUGAACGCCAUCAAAACUUCUUGAUUUCAGAAGUUUCUUGAAGAUAUACGUCUCUCAAAAGCAAGGUGGAGAAUGAAGAAAAUCCUGAACCCGGUGACCUUGCAGCCUCCGAGGAAUGCGCAUGCAUGACGCAUCCUGCAUUCUGAUACUGCGAAGUUCAGUGCCCUCCAUGUAAAUCUCUGCUUAAAAUACAGCAGCGUCGUUAGUUGGUAUGACUGAUGAAACGUUGCAAAGCCAGAAUGAAUCACAACAAGGUAACUGCUCUCCUUGAAGGCUAAAAAGUGCCAAACUGAGAAUGUAGGACGGAAAAGUGAUGUGGAAGACGAGGAGACUUGUGAAACACUCAGCAAGAAGAGAGGUGACUUUGGUGGGGCCUGGGAAAAAACGUCUGACCAAGAAGACCAAUGCUGAAGGGAAGAUGGGAACUCUUCAAGCCCUGACUUCCAUAAAUUACCAUGCUGGUAUUCACUAAGCAAAAUUUCAGAUUUGAGACUUUCUGUCAAAUUGCCAGCACUAGUACCUGGAACCAUAAUUUCAGACAUGUAUGACAUUUGGUAGGUUUUACCUUUAUGUGUGGAUGUAAGAUAGAUAAAAGCACUUAGGGGAUUGCAAGAGCUGGCUACCCUGGCAUACAGACUUUGCCAUUCACUUCGGUGCUUGUAAAGGUUAGAGGGACCAGCAAUGCACAUAGCCCAGGGCAUAGCCUGUGUCACUUGAGUCAAGUAUAAUCUUGUGGAACUCGUACCUUUCUGUAGGCCAAAUUUCAGUGUACUGGAGCUUGAGUUUAAUCUGCAUCUGCAAUUCUUUCACACUCCUGAAAUCCUUCGUCUAACGUAGAUGAUGAAAUGGAAAAGGUGGGGAUGCUUGAUAUCUUCUGACCACUACUUUAUGCAAGGUCUUCCUAAAUUGACAAAGCAUAUUGUCUUCUUAGUUAUCAAAGUAUUUAAUAUCAUUGUGACUUUGGAAGAGUAGGUAUUUCAUGGAUUUUUUUUGUAUAAUAAACUCAUCAAAGCUAUGUCGUCUUCUGGUGGCUGGUUAAGAUAUGCAACUAAUCGGCAUCUACAGCUUUGGUCAUAGUUGUCUCUAUCCAGGACCAUCACUAAAUCAGGCUGCUUUCAGAAAAAUUGUAUCAAAACUAAAAAAGGCUAAUGGAUCCUUUUACCUCUUCCCUAUACCAAUAGUCCUAAGAGCACUGACUAGUGUGAUGUGUGAGCCUGAAUGGCUUGAUGGAGUUGUAUAUGCACAGCCUUUGUUGUUUGGAUCAGGGAGGUAUACUAGUUUGUUUUACGUCUGGAAUCACGCUUUGGUUUGUAGUUGUCCAAACGUGUAUGUAGACACCCAGAUAUGCAUAUCUAAUUUCAAGUAGUUCAUUUUAAAGACUAAAUGUAAGUUUCAAUCAGAAUGGCAACGCAAGUAACACAGUAAAUCUGCUGUGUUAACGCAUUGGUGGCAUUAUAGCACCUUUGCUUUUCUGAGAAUAAUAUCGUUUUCUGAGGUGCUGUUUGUGAGGUAAUUUCCUUUAUUCACAAUAAAGAGUUAACUUAUUUCAAUGGUACUGUUUCCGAAUUAGGGAAGUGCUCUUUGUAUUGUAGUAAUAGUCACCCCAAUGCCUAAAUUUUCUCACGCACGUUUAUUGUAAAAGAACACUAUUAAACAGCAA
Struthio camelus australis is the source of this 1848-nucleotide long non-coding RNA. RefSeq lists it as uncharacterized. Lineage: Eukaryota; Metazoa; Chordata; Aves; Struthioniformes; Struthionidae. The record is from RefSeq and is a predicted model, not a curated record.